RNAcentral lists this transfer RNA (72 nucleotides) under Tursiops truncatus (common bottlenose dolphin). RNAcentral describes it as "tRNA-Sup (TTA) (tRNA-Sup-TTA-12-1)". It matches the Rfam family "tRNA". Rfam says of the family: Transfer RNA (tRNA) molecules are approximately 80 nucleotides in length. Their secondary structure includes four short double-helical elements and three loops (D, anti-codon, and T loops). The record is from Rfam by way of RNAcentral. Lineage: Eukaryota; Metazoa; Chordata; Mammalia; Artiodactyla; Delphinidae. RNAcentral also lists the same sequence under 4 other names.
UUCCCGGUGGUCUAGUGGUUAGGAUUUGGCAAUUUAACUGCCAUGGCCCAGGUUCAAUCCCUGGUCAGGGAA